Molecule: transfer RNA, 89 nt
Filed under: Bacteroidota bacterium
Lineage: Bacteria; Pseudomonadati; Bacteroidota
Also listed under: 2 other names
Description: tRNA-Ser
Rfam family: tRNA
About the family: Transfer RNA (tRNA) molecules are approximately 80 nucleotides in length. Their secondary structure includes four short double-helical elements and three loops (D, anti-codon, and T loops).
Source: RNAcentral
GGAGGAUUGUCCGAGUGGUUUAUGGUGCUGGUCUCGAAAACCGGUUGGCUCCUUGAAGGGCCUCACAGGUUCGAAUCCUGUAUCCUCCG